This 467-nucleotide ribosomal RNA is filed under the name uncultured bacterium. Its description in RNAcentral is "partial 16S ribosomal RNA". It matches the Rfam family "Bacterial small subunit ribosomal RNA", at positions 29 to 507 of the family's 1533-position model. The record is from RNAcentral.
ACGAACGCUGGCGGCGUGCUUAACACAUGCAAGUCGAACGGAAAGACCCUGCUUUUGUGGGGUGCUCGAGUGGCGAACGGGUGAGUAACACGUGAGUAACCUGCCCUUGACUUUGGGAUAACUUCAGGAAACUGGGGCUAAUACCGGAUAGGAGCUCCUACUGCAUGGUGGGGGUUGGAAAGUUUCGGCGGUUGGGGAUGGACUCGCGGCUUAUCAGCUUGUUGGUGGGGUAGUGGCUUACCAAGGCUUUGACGGGUAGCCGGCCUGAGAGGGUGACCGGCCACAUUGGGACUGAGAUACGGCCCAGACUCCUACGGGAGGCAGCAGUGGGGAAUAUUGCACAAUGGGCGGAAGCCUGAUGCAGCAACGCCGCGUGCGGGAUGACGGCCUUCGGGUUGUAAACCGCUUUCGCCUGUGACGAAGCGUGAGUGACGGUAAUGGGUAAAGAAGCACCGGCUAACUACGUG